UGGGGAAUAUUGGACAAUGGGGGCAACCCUGAUCCAGCCAUGCCGCGUGUGUGAAGAAGGCCUUCGGGUUGUAAAGCACUUUCAUUGGUGAGGAAGGAGGUAAAGCUAAUAUCUUUAUCUAUUGACGUUAACCAAAGAAGAAGCACCGGCUAACUCCGUGCCAGCAGCCGCGGUAAUACGGAGGGUGCGAGCGUUAAUCGGAAUUACUGGGCGUAAAGGGCAUGCAGGCGGUUACAUAAGUCAGGUGUGAAAUCCCCGCGCUUAACGUGGGCAUUGCAUCUGAAACUAUGUAGCUAGAGUUCUGUAGAGGGGGGUAGAAUUCCAGGUGUAGCGGUGAAAUGCGUAGAGAUCUGGAGGAAUACCGAUUGCGAAGGCAGCCCCCUGGACAGUGACUGACGCU
This 400-nucleotide ribosomal RNA is filed under the name uncultured bacterium. RNAcentral's name for it is "bacterial SSU rRNA". It matches the Rfam family "Bacterial small subunit ribosomal RNA", at positions 355 to 747 of the family's 1533-position model. The record is from RNAcentral.